Molecule: ribosomal RNA, 275 nt
Filed under: uncultured bacterium
Lineage: Bacteria
Description: partial 16S ribosomal RNA
Rfam family: Bacterial small subunit ribosomal RNA
Source: RNAcentral
GCGUGGGUGAUGAAGGCCUUCGGGUUGUAAAGCCCUUUUGGCGGGGACGAUGAUGACGGUACCCGCAGAAUAAGCCCCGGCUAACUUCGUGCCAGCAGCCGCGGUAAGACGAAGGGGGCAAGCGUUGUUCGGAAUUACUGGGCGUAAAGGGCGCGUAGGCGGCCCGAUAAGUCAGCCGUGAAAGGCCUGGGCUCAACCUGGGAAUUGCGGUUGGGACUGUUGGGCUGGAGAGCGGGAGAGGAUGGUGGAAUUCCCAGUGUAGAGGUGAAAUUCGU